This 569-nucleotide ribosomal RNA is filed under the name Pichia eremophila. RNAcentral describes it as "eukaryotic LSU rRNA". It matches the Rfam family "Eukaryotic large subunit ribosomal RNA", at positions 62 to 648 of the family's 3401-position model. The record is from RNAcentral. Lineage: Eukaryota; Fungi; Ascomycota; Pichiomycetes; Pichiales; Pichiaceae.
AAACCAACAGGGAUUGCCUCAGUAGCGGCGAGUGAAGCGGCAAGAGCUCAGAUUUGAAAUCUCACCUUAGUGUGCGAGUUGUAAAUUGCAGGUUGGAGUCUCGGAUUAGACGUGUGUGCAAGUCCCUUGGAACAGGGCGCCACUGAGGGUGAGAGCCCCGUAGUGUGCAUGUCAUGAUCUGUGAGGCCCUUCUGACGAGUCGAGUUGUUUGGGAAUGCAGCUCUAAGUGGGUGGUAAAUUCCAUCUAAGGCUAAAUAUUGGCGAGAGACCGAUAGCGAACAAGUACUGUGAAGGAAAGAUGAAAAGCACUUUGAAAAGAGAGUGAAACAGCACGUGAAAUUGUUGAAAGGGAAGGGUAUUGGGCUCGACAUGGGAUUUACGCAUCGUUGCCUCUCGUGGGCGGCGCUCUGGGUUUUUCCUGGGCCAGCAUCGGUUUUNGUUGCAGGAUAAGGACAAUUGGAAUGUGGCUCCUCGGAGUGUUAUAGCCUUUUGUAGAUGCUGCGUAUGGGGACCGAGGGCUGCGGCGGACUCGUUUCGUCUCGGAUGCUGGCACAACGGCGCAAUACCGC